Leptinotarsa decemlineata (Colorado potato beetle) is the source of this 1327-nucleotide long non-coding RNA. RefSeq lists it as uncharacterized. The record is from RefSeq and is a predicted model, not a curated record. NCBI's taxonomy places the organism in Eukaryota, Metazoa, Arthropoda, Insecta, Coleoptera, Chrysomelidae.
UUGUAAAAUUAAAGAAAUUUUGUUCCAAGCCUGAUUUUUAAAAGCUUUGUAUUUGUACCUAACAUCAUUUUUAUUAUAUAAAACCGAAAAUUUUGAAACUUGUUCAAUUAUUCUUUAUUUGCCUUAAAUCUUCUCGUACGUGCCUAUUAUGGCGUUAGCGUACCACUAAAUCACUCUCUUCUAUUGUCUAAGGUCAAACAGAUUGCAAUGUAUGCAACAUACAAUGACGCUCUAAUCCAGUUGGUAGAUUAGAGAAUAAUAUAGAAGAAACAAAUAUGCCAGAUUUUCCUGAUAAUAACCAUACAAUUCCCCACAAAAAUGGUCUUGUGCUCACUGUUAAAAAAAAUGUAUUUCUAUUCAUAGUGUAGAUACCUAUAUUCCCAUUUUUCUCAACACCACCGGUGUGAACUACUGGAAACGUUUUUUUUAAAGCCUCAACUGGGAAUGCCAUGAAGAACUGAGGAAACUGGCUAGUUAUAUUAUAUAUGUGACAACGGCUGUUGAGUGUGCAAUACACAGAUCAACUCCAUAUAAAGGCCCUGAAACAGCUGUGGGGAUACCGAAGUCUUUGGUACUGAACCAGAACGAAAAGUGGGUCUAUAAAAAACAUCGAAACUACUGGAAAAACAUACCAUCUUCACAAAGGAACCAUCUGAGAAGAGAAGCGAAAGACUGCUUCAAUGAAGCAGGGAUCAACUCAGAACAAUCACAGGGCUACUCACUGGUCAUAGGGCUGUACAAAGGAGGCAUUAGCUGCAGGCAAUGCAACAAAGGGACAGAGACGGCUUGCCAUAUUUUAUGCAAAUGUGAGGCAUUGAAUCACAAGAGGCAAACAAUUUACAGGCAACCUAAAUUAUGUGACAUGCAUCCAACCGAUGUACAGAUUAGUACAGGGCACAAGAUUGUUGAAAUGUGGUUUCAUGAAAAAUAUGGGAAAAAAAACGCAAUACGCCCAUAAGACUGCUUUGUUUUCCGGAGACUUGGGAAUAACGUACAAAUCAGACAACUGAAAAAAAUGUAUGACUAUGAAAAAUUUUCAUUAUGUAUAGCAUAUUGAAUUAGCCUAGUGCCAUUGAAAGUAUUCUUUGAGUAUAUUAAGUAAAUGCUUUAUUGGACUAAUUACCAUAUUUAAUCGCCCUCAUAUGAAAACUCAACUUUCAGAGUAAUCCGCAUAAAAAAUGAUCAGUGGUCCAAGGACACUGACAAAUACUAGAUGAUUCCACUGCAAUUUUUGAAAGCACAGAAUAAUUUUGAGUAUUUAGAUAACAUGUUCUUACAUUUGUGUAUGAUAUUUGAUAAAUAAAUGAAAGUGUUAUCAACAAAAUUA